GCGCUUGCCUCGGCAGUACGUAUGCCAAAAUUGGAAUGAUACAGACAAGAUUAGCAUGGCCCCUGCUCAAGGAAGACCCACAAAUUCAUGAAGUGUUCCAUAUUUUU
This 107-nucleotide small nuclear RNA is filed under the name Prolemur simus (greater bamboo lemur). The record is from RNAcentral. Lineage: Eukaryota; Metazoa; Chordata; Mammalia; Primates; Lemuridae.